UACGUAGGGGGCAAGCGUUGUCCGGAUUUAUUGGGCGUAAAGAGCGUGUAGGCGGCUAGAUAGGUCCGUUGUGAAAACUCGAGGCUCAACCUCGAGACGUCGAUGGAAACCAUCUGGCUAGAGUCCGGAAGAGGAGAGUGGAAUUCCUGGUGUAGCGGUGAAAUGCGCAGAUAUCGGGAAGAACACCCGUGGCUAAGGCGGCUCUCUAGUACGGUACUGACGCUGAGACGCGAAAGCGUGGGGAGCGAACAGG
Molecule: ribosomal RNA, 253 nt
Filed under: uncultured bacterium
Lineage: Bacteria
Description: partial 16S ribosomal RNA
Rfam family: Bacterial small subunit ribosomal RNA
Source: RNAcentral